Molecule: ribosomal RNA, 497 nt
Filed under: uncultured bacterium
Lineage: Bacteria
Description: partial 16S ribosomal RNA
Rfam family: Bacterial small subunit ribosomal RNA
Source: RNAcentral
GAUGAACGCUGGCGGCGUGCCUAAUACAUGCAAGUCGAGCGAACAGACGAGGAGCUUGCUCCUCUGACGUUAGCGGCGGACGGGUGAGUAACACGUGGAUAACCUACCUAUAAGACUGGGAUAACUUCGGGAAACCGGAGCUAAUACCGGAUAAUAUAUUGAACCGCAUGGUUCAAUAGUGAAAGACGGUUUUGCUGUCACUUAUAGAUGGAUCCGCGCCGCAUUAGCUAGUUGGUAAGGUAACGGCUUACCAAGGCGACGAUGCGUAGCCGACCUGAGAGGGUGAUCGGCCACACUGGAACUGAGACACGGUCCAGACUACUACGGGAGGCACCAGUAGGGAAUCUUCCGCAAUGGGCGAAAGCCUGACGGAGCAACGCCGAGUGAGUGAUGAAGGUCUUCGUAUCGUAAAACUCUGUUAUCAGGGAAGAACAAAUGUGUAAGUAACUAUGCACGUCUUGACGGUACCUAAUCAGAAAGCCACGGCUAACUACGUG